AUUGAACGCUGGCGGCAUGCUUACACAUGCAAGUCGAACGGUAACAGGGUGCUUGCACCGCUGACGAGUGGCGAACGGGUGAGUAAUGCGUCGGAACGUGCCGAGUAGUGGGGGAUAACGCAGCGAAAGUUGUGCUAAUACCGCAUACGUACUGAGGUAGAAAGUGGGGGACCUUCGGGCCUCACGCUAUUCGAGCGGCCGACGUCUGAUUAGCUAGUAGGUGAGGUAAAGGCUCACCUAGGCGACGAUCAGUAGCGGGUCUGAGAGGAUGAUCCGCCACACGGGGACUGAGGCACGGCCCAGACUCCUACGGGAGGCAGCGGUGGGGAAUUUUGGACAAUGGGCGAGAGCCUGAUCCAGCCAUGCCGCGUGUCUGAAGAAGGCCUUCGGGUUGUAAAGGACUUUUGUCAGGGAGGAAAUCCCUAGUGCUAAUAACACUGGGGGAUGACAGUACCUGAAGAAUAAGCACCGGCUAACUACGUGCCAGCCGCCGCCGUAA
RNAcentral lists this ribosomal RNA (499 nucleotides) under uncultured bacterium. Its description in RNAcentral is "partial 16S ribosomal RNA". It matches the Rfam family "Bacterial small subunit ribosomal RNA", at positions 30 to 523 of the family's 1533-position model. The record is from RNAcentral.